Long non-coding RNA from Cyprinus carpio carpio, 1965 nucleotides. NCBI's taxonomy places the organism in Eukaryota, Metazoa, Chordata, Actinopteri, Cypriniformes, Cyprinidae. The record is from Ensembl.
AUGAGCGACACCUGCUCCACUCACCGGUCUCGUGUCCCACGGAGGAGAUCGGAAGGAUAUAAAAGAGGAGCGACAACAGUGAAGGACGAGAAAGGACCAGGCCUGGGCUUUAUUUUGUGUUUGGUUUUUGUUUAUUCGCGGCAGUCGCCCGUGAGGGGCUGUCGCGCUGCCCGAAAGCGGAGGAGCCGUCACCGUCCACCGGGCGGCGGAGGAGUGUCGUGCCGUCCACCGAGGGCCAUCCAGUGCCGCCGUCAGGCACCGCGGAAGAGUUCACCCAGCUGGUGGAGGGCCGAGCGGCAGCGUGUCUGGGAACCGGAUUUUUAUUUAUUUUUUUCUUCUCUCUCCCCUCUCUCGUCUCUGUCACUCCUCAUCCUUCCAUCUCCUUUUCUCUCGCCUCGUCUGUCCUUACCCCCGUGAGCGGUCCCCCCCGGAGGGAGGGGGUGGGGAGUAGAGAGCAGUGUCGGGAGUACCCCCCGGCCUGCGAGGGGGGUAUGUGAUGAGUGGGGCGGGGCCGAGAGCCGUGGGAAUGGAGCGAGGCCGGUGGAGUGAUUGGGAAAUGAGCGACACCUGCUCCACUCACCGGUCUCGAGUCCCACGGAGGAGAUCGGAAGGAUAUAAAAGAGGAGCGACGACAGUGAAGGACGAGAGAGGACCAGGCCUGGGUUUUGUUUUGUGUUUGGUUUUUGUUUAUGCGCGGCAGUCGCCCGUGAGGGGCUGUUGCACUGUUUUGUAUUUAUUUUGUCAUUAAAGUUUUAUUUGAGUGUCCGCCGGUUCCCGCCUCCUUCUUCCCGUGAUUAUGGAGUUUUAUAUUGUUACACCCAACAUCACAGCAGUAAUGACUUUAUGAACUACUUUACUUUUAAGAUCGAUACUAUUAGAGAUAAAAUUGUAACCAUGCAGCCGUCAACUACAGUAUCGCAUCAGACAGUGCACUAUAGAUCCCCUGAGGAACAGUUCCACUCAUCCUCUACUAUAGGAAAGGAAGAAUUGUAUAAACUUGUUAAAUCAUCUAAACCAACAACAUGUAUGUUAGAUCCUAUUCCAUCUAAGCUCCUAAAAGAGGUGCUUCCAGAAGUCAUAGAUCCGCUUCUGACUAUUAUUAAUUCAUCAUCGUCAUUAGGAUAUGUCCCCAAAACCUUCAAACUGGCUGUUAUUAAGCCUCUCAUCAAAAAAAAACACAACUUGACCCCAAAGAACUAGUUAAUUAUAGACCGAUCUCGAAUCUCCCUUUUCUGUCCAAGAUACUAGACACGGUAGUAUCCUCACAAUUAUAUUCCUUCUUAGAGAAAAAUGAUAUCUGUGAGGAUUUCCAGUCAGGAUUUAUACCCUAUCAUAGUAUUGAGACUGCUCUCCUUAGAGUUACAAAUGACCUGCUCUUAUCAUCUGAUCAUGGUUGUAUCUCUCUUUUAGUGCUAAUGGAUCUUAGUGCUGUGUUCGACACUAUUGACCACAACAUUCUUUUGCAUAGACUAGAACACUUUGUUGGCAUUAAUGGAAGUGCAUUAGCAUAGUUUAAAUCGUACUUGUAUGACCGCCAUCAAUUCAUAGGAGUAAAUGAAGCGGUAUCAUAUUGAUCACAAGAGCAGUAUGGAGUACCUCAAGGCUCAGUACUAGGGCUGUUACUCUUCAUGCUUUACAUGUUACCCUUGGGAGAUAUCAUAAGGAAACACGGUGUUAGCUUUCACUGUUAUGCUGAUGAUACUCAGCUCUAUAUUUCUUCGCGCCCCGGCGAAACAUACCAAUUUGAAAAAAUAACGGAAUGCAUAGUCGAUAUAAAAAAACUGGAUGACGAGCAAUUUCUUACUGCUAAAUUCUGAAAAAAUAGAGAACUCUGUCUAAGACUUAAUGGCUGCUCUGUCAAUUCUUUGUCAUCAGUUAGGAACCUAGGUGUGCUAUUUGAUAGCAAUCUUUCCUUAGAAAGCCACGUUUCAAGCAUUUGUUAAACUGCUUUUUUCCAUCUCAAAA